Molecule: non-coding RNA, 31 nt
Filed under: Mus musculus (house mouse)
Lineage: Eukaryota; Metazoa; Chordata; Mammalia; Rodentia; Muridae
Source: RNAcentral
UCCCAGGGUGGCCACGUUGAAAUAAAUCUCC